AGGCUUAUAGCUCAGUGGAUAGAGCACCAGAUUCCGGUUCUGGAUGUGGAGGGUUCGAGUCCCUCUAAGCCUA
Molecule: transfer RNA, 73 nt
Filed under: bacterium TMED277
Lineage: Bacteria
Description: tRNA-Arg
Rfam family: tRNA
About the family: Transfer RNA (tRNA) molecules are approximately 80 nucleotides in length. Their secondary structure includes four short double-helical elements and three loops (D, anti-codon, and T loops). Further hydrogen bonds mediate the characteristic L-shaped molecular structure. tRNAs have two regions of fundamental functional importance: the anti-codon, which is responsible for specific mRNA codon recognition, and the 3' end, to which the tRNAs corresponding amino acid is attached (by aminoacyl-tRNA synthetases). tRNAs cope with the degeneracy of the genetic code in two manners: having more than one tRNA (with a specific anti-codon) for a particular amino acid; and 'wobble' base-pairing, i.e. permitting non-standard base-pairing at the 3rd anti-codon position.
Source: RNAcentral